UAUGAAUCUUCAUUUUGCAAGGCAACUUUACCUUAGUCAUCUUUGAUUAACUUUGCCUCAUAUUUUGUCUGUGUUGUAUUUGUUGUUUAUAUAUUUCCUUCAAAAGUUUAGCAAGACAUGACUUACAAGUUUCCAUGCCAAAUCAAGGAUUUUACUCCCUCAAUUCAAAGAGAUUUUAUUAGUGAACGAGAAAAGCACAAGGAGACUGAUGAAUACAAGAGAGCAAUAGAAGAAGAAUGGGCAUCUAUGCUGCGACAGUUACAAAUUCAGGCAGAAGAGGAAAAGAGGCUACGUAGGAGAAAAAGAGAUGAAAGGCAUUUGGUGGACAUGCAGAGGAGGUAAAAGCAACGUGUGGAGGAAGUGAGAAAGACCACAAAGAAGGAUGAGGAAAAUAUGAACUUGAAAGAGCAACUUAAUGAUGGCAAAUCAAGGAUGAGGAAAAUAUGAACUUGAAAGAGCAACUUCGUGUUGAAAUAAGGAAGGAGCUUGAUAAAUUGGAAACCUCGGAUAUGGCCACAUUGCUUUGGGGCUUAGGAAUCAAACUUGGUGGUGAUUCUGAUCCCCUGCCACAUGAGGUGCAAACAGCUUACAAACAAGCCGUGUUAAAAUUUCAUCCAGACCGGGCAUCAAAAACUGACGUUCGCCAGCAGGUUGAAGCUGAAGAAAAAUUUAAGCUUAUUUCCCGGACAAAGAGAAAUUUUUAGCAACUUCAUGUCACUGAAUGCA
RNA transcript from Quercus lobata, 726 nucleotides. It is a transcript of the gene named Chaperone DnaJ-domain superfamily protein, with no coding region annotated. The record is from RefSeq and is a predicted model, not a curated record. The transcript has 4 exons. NCBI's taxonomy places the organism in Eukaryota, Viridiplantae, Streptophyta, Magnoliopsida, Fagales, Fagaceae.